RNAcentral lists this long non-coding RNA (246 nucleotides) under Manihot esculenta (cassava). RNAcentral describes it as "long non-coding RNA (MESC_LNC001409)". The record is from RNAcentral. Lineage: Eukaryota; Viridiplantae; Streptophyta; Magnoliopsida; Malpighiales; Euphorbiaceae.
AGGCCAGACCCAUGAAAACAGUCCAUGAUCCGAAGGCUUCAAUAUUCCUCUCGAGAGCCAGGUUCAGCCCGCUCAGUCACAGAGCCGGACUCCGCCUAGACUCCUCAAUCAAACCGGCCCAAACCUCUCGGCCCAGUAAUCAGGCCCUCACCAAGCUCAACUUCAGCCCUACCAUUCAACCCAGCCCGGAAAGGGGAAAAUGACCAAGAUGCCCCGCUGGUAGGUCCUUCCGCAUGCGUAUCAGAG